AGUUCUCACCCCACUUUAUUGCAGGGCCGAGUGCGAGCGGACCGGGCGAGGACCGCGGUAAGGGCAUAGCGCCCUAGUUAGCUAGCAGCUUUUCUUUGUGCAUUAGAGUACCCUCGUGUACAUGAGUGAUAGAUGAUGUAUAUAUUGGAGAGUUGUAGGUAUGUAUUUUGAGAUGAACAUGUAUACAUUUUGGAGAUGAAAAAUAUAAACUCGAUGUAUAUGUUGAAUGGAAUUGUGAUAGCUGGAA
RNAcentral lists this long non-coding RNA (247 nucleotides) under Ananas comosus (pineapple). Its description in RNAcentral is "long non-coding RNA (ACOM_LNC030364)". Lineage: Eukaryota; Viridiplantae; Streptophyta; Magnoliopsida; Poales; Bromeliaceae. The record is from RNAcentral.